RNAcentral lists this ribosomal RNA (800 nucleotides) under uncultured bacterium. RNAcentral's name for it is "bacterial SSU rRNA". It matches the Rfam family "Bacterial small subunit ribosomal RNA", at positions 78 to 897 of the family's 1533-position model. The record is from RNAcentral.
CUAUAAUUGUCAGCUAAGUGGCGCACGGGUGAGUAAUGUAUAGAUAACCUGCCCUUAAGAAAGGAAUAACAGUUGGAAACGACUGCUAAUGCCCUAUAUGCCUUUAAUACAUAAGUAUGCAAGGGAAACGCUUUAGUGCUUAAGGAUGGGUCUGUAUGGUAUCAGCUUGUUGGUGAGGUAAUGGCUCACCAAGGCUAUGACGCCUAACUGGUUUGAGAGGAUGAUCAGUCACACUGGAACUGAGACACGGUCCAGACUCCUACGGGAGGCAGCAGUGGGGAAUAUUGCACAAUGGACGAAAGUCUGAUGCAGCAACGCCGCGUGGAGGAUGACACAUUUCGGUGCGUAAACUCCUUUUAUAUAGGAAGAUAAUGACGGUACUAUAUGAAUAAGCACCGGCUAACUCCGUGCCAGCAGCCGCGGUAAUACGGAGGGUGCAAGCGUUACUCGGAAUCACUGGGCGUAAAGAGCGUGUAGGCGGGUAUAUAAGUCAGAAGUGAAAUCCAAUAGCUCAACUAUUGAACUGCUUUUGAAACUGUAUACCUAGAAUGUGGGAGAGGUAGAUGGAAUUUCUGGUGUAGGGGUAAAAUCCGUAGAGAUCAGAAGGAAUACCGAUUGCGAAGGCGAUCUACUGGAACAUUAUUGACGCUGAGACGCGAAAGCGUGGGGAGCAAACAGGAUUAGAUACCCUGGUAGUCCACGCCCUAAACGAUGUACACUAGUUGUUGUGAGGCUCGACCUUGCAGUAAUGCAGUUAACACAUUAAGUGUACCGCCUGGGGAGUACGGUCGCAAGAUUAA